UUAUGAGAGUUUGAUCCUGGCUCAGGACGAACGCUGGCGGCGUGCCUAAUACAUGCAAGUCGUACGCUUCUUUUUCCACCGGAGCUUGCUCCACCGGAAAAAGAAGAGUGGCGAACGGGUGAGUAACACGUGGGUAACCUGCCCAUCAGAAGGGGAUAA
RNAcentral lists this ribosomal RNA (159 nucleotides) under Enterococcus durans. RNAcentral's name for it is "partial 16S ribosomal RNA". It matches the Rfam family "Bacterial small subunit ribosomal RNA", at positions 1 to 146 of the family's 1533-position model. Lineage: Bacteria; Bacillati; Bacillota; Bacilli; Lactobacillales; Enterococcaceae. The record is from RNAcentral.